CUGAAACCGUAUGCCUACAAUCAGUCGGAGGGCAUCUGGCAAGCCUAUGGGCUUGCGAGGCCUGACGGCGUGCCUUUUGGAGAAUGAGCCGGCGAGUUAAUCUUUGUGGCGAGCCUAAGGGAGUGACACCCGGAGGCGUAGCGAAAGCGAGUCUUAAUAGGGCGUAUAGUCGCAGGGAUUAGACACGAAACCUGGUGAGCUACCCAUGGCCAGGGUGAAGCGGGAUUAAUACCCCGUGGAGGCCCGAACCCACCAAUGUUGCAAAAUUGGGGGAUGAGCUGUGGGUAGGGGUGAUAUGCCAAACGAACCAGGAGAUAGCUUGUUCUCCCCGAAAUAGCUUUAGGGCUAGCGUCGCGUGUUCAGUAUCGGAGGUAGAGCACUGGAGUGGCUAGGGGGCUAAUAGCUUACCAAACCACACCAAACUCCGAAUGCCGAUACUCUAGAGCGCGGCAGUUGGGUCACGGGGGAUGAGCUCCGUGACCGAGAGGGAAACAACCCAGACCAUCGGCUAAGGUCCCUAAGUCUGAGCUAAGUGGUAAACGAUGUGGGACUACUAAGACAGCCAGGAGGUUGGCUUAGAAGCAGCCAUCCUUGAAAGAGUGCGUAACAGCUCACUGGUCAAGUGGUCCUGCGCGGAUAAUGUAACGGGGCUAAGCUCAGCACCGAAGCCAUGGGUUUAUUCCGUCAUUGGCGUGAAUAAGCAGUAGGGGAGCGUUCUGUUUGCGCUGAAGGUCGACCGUGAGGACGGCUGGAGCGAGCAGAAGUGAGAAUGCCGGCAUGAGUAGCGUAAAACAUGUGAGAAUCAUGUUCGCCGUAAGUCUAAGGUUUCCGACGCAAGGGUGUUCCACGUCGGGUUAGUCGGCCCUUAGCCGAGGCCGAGAGGCGUAGGCGAUGGAUAUCCGGUUAAUAUUCCGGAACCACCUAAGAUGAGUGAAGAGGGGACGCAGAACGGUAAGCCAGCCGGCCUAUUGGACAUGGUCGGUGCUAAACGCGUAGGCGUUGAGAUCCGUAGGGAAAUCCGCGGGUUGAGCUGAGGCGUGAUGGCGUGGCCUAGAGCCUGAAGUGGCUGAGCCGAGCUGCCAAGAAAAGCCUCGUAGCGUUGAAUCCUAGGUGACCGUACCACAAACCGACACUGGUAGACGAGUAGAGAAUACUAAGGCGAACGGGAGAACCUUCGUUAAGGAACUAGGCAAAAUGGCCCCGUAACUUCGGGAGAAGGGGCGCCCUCUAACGUGACGUGCAUACGCAUAGAGCGUAGGGGGGCCGCAGUGAAAUGGCUCUGGUGACUGUUUAACAAAAACACAGGUCCCUGCUAAAGCGUAAGCUGAUGUAUAGGGGCUGACGCCUGCCCAGUGCCGGAAGGUUAAAGUGAGGGGUUAGCUUCCUUCGGGAAGCGAAGCUCUGAGCUGAAGCCCCGGUGAACGGCGGCCGUAACUAUAACGGUCCUAAGGUAGCGAAAUUCCUUGUCGGGUAAGUUCCGACCUG
RNAcentral lists this ribosomal RNA (1485 nucleotides) under marine metagenome. Its description in RNAcentral is "bacterial LSU rRNA". It matches the Rfam family "Bacterial large subunit ribosomal RNA", at positions 550 to 1990 of the family's 2925-position model. The record is from RNAcentral.